Long non-coding RNA from Oncorhynchus gorbuscha (pink salmon), 990 nucleotides. RefSeq lists it as uncharacterized. The record is from RefSeq and is a predicted model, not a curated record. The transcript has 3 exons. NCBI's taxonomy places the organism in Eukaryota, Metazoa, Chordata, Actinopteri, Salmoniformes, Salmonidae.
CCUGAUUUCCACUCAUAUUAUCUCCACCACACAGCCCCAGCCAGCGAGUCUUCAGUGCCUUCACAUCCAGGGGUCCCUCAGGAAGCAGCCGUCCAUGAAGGUCAAAGCACAUUCAAGAUGUGAAGCUAUAUUGAUUCCAGAUAUCCUUCUCUUGGCUGAGGUCCAUCUCCGGAUCUUGAUGGGCUUUUCGAUUUGCCGAAAAUAAGGAUGAUUUCUGAUGCAUUUCUGACUUUUCAGCACAUGCUCAAUAAUUUGACAAAUAUGAAAUCUAUAUUUUUAUUUCGUGCACAAAUCAUUUUUGGAUUCCCCCCGUAAGUCAUACAUGAUAUUGACUCAUUAGAUAUCCUGAGAUAGGCCUAUGUGGACUUCUUAUCUUAUUUUCUCUAUAUGCUGAGAAAUACUGACAGUAGGCCUACAUAGUAUAUUUUCAGCAUAUACAAUGCAUAUGCUCUUGAGUGAGGUUCAUAUCAGGAUCUUGAUGUGAAUUUUGAUAUGCUAAAUAAGGAACAUUUCUGAUGCUUAUAUGAGUUGAGGACAUGCUCAAUAAUUUGACAAAUAUUAAAUCCAUAUCAUUCUUUCAGACGCUAGCUAUAAUUUUUGUAUUUCCAUCUGGAUAAAGUAAUUUUGAAACCAUAAGCACUGUAACUGGUUGCCUAGCAACAAUAAUCAUGUAUUUUCAGCUGUGGAGUUCCAACUGUAAUUUUUUUUAUUUGGGCACCACAAAUUAGUGUGUAGCAUUAAACCGUGUUUAGUCGAACUGACAACUGGAGAAACAAGGAAGUGAGAAGCUGUUCAGAAAAUACCUCAAAGAAGUUAACGCUAAAUUUGGAGGGGAUCACAGACCAUAACUACCAUCACGUUGGGUCAGGACUGCAAGGGACCGCCGCUGACGAUCCAAUCUGCACUCAUCGCAUCUAUUUUCCAUAACAAAGUUUAAUCAGGGGGAUUGAGGGUGUGCAACUUUUAUUUUCUGUUAAAUAAAUAAAAUCC